GGGUUGUGAGGUUAAGCGACUAAGCGUACACGGUGGAUGCCCUGGCAGUCAGAGGCGAUGAAGGACGUGCUAAUCUGCGAUAAGCGUCGGUAAGGUGAUAUGAACCGUUAUAACCGGCGAUUUCCGAAUGGGGAAACCCAGUGUGAUUCGUCACACUAUCAUUAACUGAAUCCAUAGGUUAAUGAGGCGAACCGGGGGAACUGAAACAUCUAAGUACCCCGAGGAAAAGAAAUCAACCGAGAUUCCCCCAGUAGCGGCGAGCGAACGGGGAGCAGCCCAGAGCCUGAAUCAGUGUGUGUGUUAGUGGAAGCGUCUGGAAAGGCGUGCGAUACAGGGUGACAGCCCCGUACACAAAAAUGCACAUAUUGUGAGCUCGAUGAGUAGGGCGGGACACGUGGUAUCCUGUCUGAAUAUGGGGGGACCAUCCUCCAAGGCUAAAUACUCCUGACUGACCGAUAGUGAACCAGUACCGUGAGGGAAAGGCGAAAAGAACCCCGGCGAGGGGAGUGAAAAAGAACCUGAAACCGUGUACGUACAAGCAGUGGGAGCACGCUUAGGCGUGUGACUGCGUACCUUUUGUAUAAUGGGUCAGCGACUUAUAUUCUGUAGCAAGGUUAACCGAAUAGGGGAGCCGAAGGGAAACCGAGUCUUAACUGGGCGUUAAGUUGCAGGGUAUAGACCCGAAACCCGGUGAUCUAGCCAUGGGCAGGUUGAAGGUUGGGUAACACUAACUGGAGGACCGAACCGACUAAUGUUGAAAAAUUAGCGGAUGACUUGUGGCUGGGGGUGAAAGGCCAAUCAAACCGGGAGAUAGCUGGUUCUCCCCGAAAGCUAUUUAGGUAGCGCCUCGUGAAUUCAUCUCCGGGGGUAGAGCACUGUUUCGGCAAGGGGGUCAUCCCGACUUACCAACCCGAUGCAAACUGCGAAUACCGGAGAAUGUUAUCACGGGAGACACACGGCGGGUGCUAACGUCCGUCGUGAAGAGGGAAACAACCCAGACCGCCAGCUAAGGUCCCAAAGUCAUGGUUAAGUGGGAAACGAUGUGGGAAGGCCCAGACAGCCAGGAUGUUGGCUUAGAAGCAGCCAUCAUUUAAAGAAAGCGUAAUAGCUCACUGGUCGAGUCGGCCUGCGCGGAAGAUGUAACGGGGCUAAACCAUGCACCGAAGCUGCGGCAGCGACGCUUAUGCGUUGUUGGGUAGGGGAGCGUUCUGUAAGCCUGCGAAGGUGUGCUGUGAGGCAUGCUGGAGGUAUCAGAAGUGCGAAUGCUGACAUAAGUAACGAUAAAGCGGGUGAAAAGCCCGCUCGCCGGAAGACCAAGGGUUCCUGUCCAACGUUAAUCGGGGCAGGGUGAGUCGACCCCUAAGGCGAGGCCGAAAGGCGUAGUCGAUGGGAAACAGGUUAAUAUUCCUGUACUUGGUGUUACUGCGAAGGGGGGACGGAGAAGGCUAUGUUGGCCGGGCGACGGUUGUCCCGGUUUAAGCGUGUAGGCUGGUUUUCCAGGCAAAUCCGGAAAAUCAAGGCUGAGGCGUGAUGACGAGGCACUACGGUGCUGAAGCAACAAAUGCCCUGCUUCCAGGAAAAGCCUCUAAGCAUCAGGUAACAUCAAAUCGUACCCCAAACCGACACAGGUGGUCAGGUAGAGAAUACCAAGGCGCUUGAGAGAACUCGGGUGAAGGAACUAGGCAAAAUGGUGCCGUAACUUCGGGAGAAGGC
This 1713-nucleotide ribosomal RNA is filed under the name Escherichia coli. Its description in RNAcentral is "partial 23S ribosomal RNA". It matches the Rfam family "Bacterial large subunit ribosomal RNA", at positions 1 to 1747 of the family's 2925-position model. The record is from RNAcentral. Lineage: Bacteria; Pseudomonadati; Pseudomonadota; Gammaproteobacteria; Enterobacterales; Enterobacteriaceae.